This 732-nucleotide non-coding RNA is filed under the name Neoalcathous huangshanana. The record is from RNAcentral. Lineage: Eukaryota; Metazoa; Arthropoda; Insecta; Hemiptera; Fulgoridae.
UUUAAAUUUGAUUUUUGUUUUUAUAUUUGGCUUUAAGUUUGUAAUGCAUGUAAAUUUUUGUUAGUUAUUUUAUUCUUAAUGAUUAAUUUUUUAUUUUCAGUAUUUAAUUCUUUUAUUUUUAAUUAUUUAAUUUAGGCUAUACUUUUUAUAACUAAAAAAUGUUGUGCCAGCAUUUGCGGUUAUACAUCAAGUUAGAGUUAAUUUAUUUAGAUUUUAGUUUUUUAUUUUUUUUAUCUUGUAUUUGGGUGGAAUCUAUAUGAUUUUUUAUAGUUUAUUCUAAAUAAAUUUGGGUUUAAACCAGGAUUAGAUACCCUGUUAUUCAAAAUAAAGGUUUUAUGUUCUAAGGUAGUAUAUUUUAAUGAUUGAAAUUUAAUAGAUCUGGCGGUUUUUAAAUCUUUUUAGAGGAACCUGUUAUUUAAAUGAUAAUCCACGAUUUUUUUUACCUUCUCUUUCUUGUAUAUCGCUGUCGUUGAGUGUGAUGAAAAUUAAUUUUCCCUUUCUUCUUUUAGAAUUAUGUUAGGUCAAGAUGCAGUUAUGAUAGGGUUAUUAUGGGUUACUUUAAUUUUUGUUUGUGGAUAAAAUAAUUAAUUUUUUUUUGAAUUUGGAUUUAAUAGUAAUUUUAUUUAUUUAAUUUUAUGAAUUUAGCUCUUAAUUAUGUACAUAUCGCCCGUCACUCUCACAUAGUGAGAUAAGUCGUAACAAAGUAGAUGUACCGGAAGGUGUAUCUAGAAA